UACGUAGGGGGCAAGCGUUGUCCGGAUUUAUUGGGCGUAAAGAGCGUGUAGGCGGCCUGGAAGGUCAGCUGUGAAAACUCGAGGCUCAACCUCGAGACGUCGGUUGAAACCACCUGGCUAGAGUCCGGAAGAGGAGAGUAGAAUUCCUGGUGUAGCGGUGAAAUGCGUAGAUAUCAGGAGGAAUACCGGUGGUGUAGACGGCUCUCUGGACCGCAACUGACGCUGAAACACGAAAGCGUGGGUAGCAAACAGG
This 253-nucleotide ribosomal RNA is filed under the name uncultured bacterium. Its description in RNAcentral is "partial 16S ribosomal RNA". It matches the Rfam family "Bacterial small subunit ribosomal RNA", at positions 524 to 776 of the family's 1533-position model. The record is from RNAcentral.